GGGUGCGACCAUACCAGCACUAGUGCAUCAGAUCCCUUUAGAAUUUUGUAGUUAAGCGUGCUUGGGUGAGAGUAGUACUGGGAUGGGUGACCUCCUGGGAAGUCCUCGUAAUGCACCCU
Ribosomal RNA from Dendrobium catenatum, 119 nucleotides. The record is from RefSeq and is a predicted model, not a curated record. Lineage: Eukaryota; Viridiplantae; Streptophyta; Magnoliopsida; Asparagales; Orchidaceae.